GGGCGGUGUGAGGGAUGAGGACUAUAACAGGUGAGGUAGGUCAGGUGUGUUAGUUAACUGCUGUGAGUCAGGGCAGUGUGAGGGAUGAGGACUAUAACAGGUGAGGUAGGUCAGGUGUGUUAGUUAUCUGCUGUGAGUCAGGGCGGUGUGAGGGAUGAGGACUAUAACAGGUGAGGUAGGUCAGGUGUGUUAGUUACCUGCUGUGAGUCAGGGCAGUGUGAGGGAUGAGGACUAUAACAGGUGAGGUAGGUCAGGUGUGUUAGUUAUCUGCUGUGAGUCAGGGCGGUGUGAGGGAUGAGGACUAUAACAGGUGAGGUAGGUCAGGUGUGUUAGUUACCUGCUGUGAGUCAGGGCGGUGUGAGGGAUGAGGACUAUAACAGGUGAGGUAGGUCAGGUGUGUUAGUUAUCUGCUGUGAGUCAGGGCGGUGUGAGGGAUGAGGACUAUAACAGGUGAGGUAGGUCAGGUGUGUUAGUUACCUGCUGUGAGUCAGGGCGGUGUGAGGGAUGAGGACUAUAACAGGUGAGGUAGGUCAGGUGUGUUAGGUACCUGCUGUGAGUCAGAAGGGAUGAGGACUAUAACAAGUGAGGUAGGUCAGGUGUGUUAGUUACCUGCUGUGAGUCAGGGCCGUGUGAGGGAUGAGGACUAUAACAGGUGAGAUCGGUCAGGUGUGUUAGUUACCUGCUGUGAGUCAGGGCGGUGUGAGGGAUGAGGACUAUAACAGGUGAGGUAGG
Molecule: long non-coding RNA, 732 nt
Organism: Oncorhynchus keta (chum salmon)
Lineage: Eukaryota; Metazoa; Chordata; Actinopteri; Salmoniformes; Salmonidae
Exons: 3
Source: RefSeq, a predicted model, not a curated record